GAUGAACGCUCGCUACAGGCUUAACACAUGCAAGUCGCGUGGCAGCAUGGGGGUUGCUUGCAAUCCCCGAUGGCGACCGGCGCACGGGUGAGUAACGCGUAUCCAACCUGCCCUUCACCACGGGAUAACCCGGCGAAAGUCGGACUAAUACCGUAUGUUGUCCAUUGACGGCAUCCGAUUUGGACGAAAGGCAUAGCGGUGAGGGAUGGGGAUGCGUCCGAUUAGCCAGACGGCGGGGUAACGGCCCACCGUGGCUACGAUCGGUAGGGGUUCUGAGAGGAAGGUCCCCCACACUGGAACUGAGACACGGUCCAGACUACUACGUGAGGCAGCAGUGAGGAAUAUGGGGCAAUGGGCGUAAGCCUGAACCAGCCAAGUAGCGUGCAGGAUUACGGCCCUAUGGGUUGUAAACUGCUUUUAUGCGGGGAUAAAGUGGCCCACGUGUGGGCUUUUGCAGUUACCGCAUGAAUAAGGACCGGCUAAUUCCGUG
RNAcentral lists this ribosomal RNA (490 nucleotides) under uncultured bacterium. Its description in RNAcentral is "partial 16S ribosomal RNA". It matches the Rfam family "Bacterial small subunit ribosomal RNA", at positions 28 to 507 of the family's 1533-position model. The record is from RNAcentral.